CCUACGGGUGGCAGCAGUGAGGAAUAUUGGUCAAUGGACGAGAGUCUGAACCAGCCAAGUAGCGUGAAGGAUGACUGCCCUAUGGGUUGUAAACUUCUUUUAUAAAGGAAUAAAACGAGGCACGUGUGCCUUUUUGCAUGUACUUUAUGAAUAAGGAUCGGCUAACUCCGUGCCAGCAGCCGCGGUAAUACGGAGGAUCCGAGCGUUAUCCGGAUUUAUUGGGUUUAAAGGGAGCGUAGAUGGGUUGUUAAGUCAGUUGUGAAAGUUUGCGGCUCAACCGUAAAAUUGCAAUUGAUACUGGCAGUCGUGAGUAAAGUUGAGGGAGGCGGAAUUAGGGGGGGAGAGGUGAAAUGAUUAGAUAUCACGAAGAAACCGGAGUGCGAAGGCAGCUUAAUAAACUGUGAAUGAAAUGGAUGCUCGAAAGUGUGGGUAUCAAACAGGAUGAGAUAAACCGGUAGUC
Molecule: ribosomal RNA, 460 nt
Filed under: uncultured bacterium
Lineage: Bacteria
Description: partial 16S ribosomal RNA
Rfam family: Bacterial small subunit ribosomal RNA
Source: RNAcentral